AGGACGAACGCUGGCGGCGCGCCUAACACAUAGCAAGUCGAACGGACGAGAGGAGCUUGCUCCUCAAGUUAGUGGCGGACGGGUGAGUAACACGUGAGCAACCUGCCUUUCAGUGGGGGACAACAGUUGGAAACGACUGCUAAUACCGCAUAACGUUGCGAAGGGGCAUCCUUUUGCAACCAAAGAUUUAUCGCUGAAAGAUGGGCUCGCGUCUGAUUAGAUAGUUGGUGAGGUAACGGCCCACCAAGUCGACGAUCAGUAGCCGGACUGAGAGGUUGAACGGCCACAUUGGGACUGAGACACGGCCCAGACUCCUACGGGAGGCAGCAGUGGGGGAUAUUGGACAAUGGGGGGCCAACCCUGAUCCAGCGACGCCGCGUGAGGGAAGAAGGUUUUCGGAUUGUAAACCUCUGUUGACAGGGAAGAAAAUGACGGUACCUGUUAAGAAAGCCACGGCUAACUACGUGCCAGCAGCGGC
This 478-nucleotide ribosomal RNA is filed under the name uncultured bacterium. Its description in RNAcentral is "bacterial SSU rRNA". It matches the Rfam family "Bacterial small subunit ribosomal RNA", at positions 26 to 518 of the family's 1533-position model. The record is from RNAcentral.